AUGCACUACACCUGUGAAGCAGGGCUGCUUUAAAAUAAGCGAGAACAGAUGGGUGAGAGCAGGAGCGUGAAGAGUGGGAAACAAGUCUGCAUUUGUUUUAGGUAAUGCCAACGGUGCAGAAAUUCAUCAUUCACCACCUGGGCUAUCAGUUUGUCGAGUACCGGUAUUUAUUCUUUUCCCAGGAGCCGACCCUAUGGCAGCACUCGUUAAGUUUGCUGACGAUCAGCUCCUAGGUUUCCUGGAGAUAGAUUUCUUCCACCGCUCGCCUGCGACCACCAGCGUUCUUAGCCGUUGAGCGGCAGCGAAGGAAGGAGCAUGGAGGUUGCUGCAGGAGCUUAACCCAGAGGCAGCACAUCGGGAUUUCAGUAUCUGGCUCACCAGCUACCCGUCUGCCACGUUUCCGGCAUCCGUUCUUCAGAACGGAGUGAAGAUGACAAACGAAGCGCCGAAGGGUUUACGGGCAAACAGACUUCGUUCACAUCUGAUGGAUCACGUACCUGACCCUAAUUUUUAAAAUAGCUGCAAAAAACCGGAGGUGCCAUACAAUGCUUUUUGCUACAUGACCAGGGAAGGUAAGUAUGUUGGCAGAGUCACUGACAACUGGGAUUGUUGCGUACUACUUAGCGUUUUGAAGACAUUUUUCUCAGCAGAAGUCAUUACAAGUAGAGAUGACGAAUUUGAUUUGAGUGGCCUUCACCGUGUUCUUCCUGAAGGUGACAUCUGGAGUAAACUUCCCUGUGACUUGGACAAUGUGAGGAGAAGAUAAUGAACCACUUAAAGUGACAGUAUGAAUCACAGAAUGGUGGAAUCAUGGAGUCACAAUGUUGGAAACCAUGUGCAGGAUGAUCCAGUACAAUUGUGUGUCACCAUAAGCACUCAACCAUAUCAUGCAGCAUGUUGUCCAUGUGUCUCAUUGAGUGAGUCUGGGAAUGGGACUAUGUAUAUAUAAUUGUGUUCCUAUUCCAGAAAUUGGACAAUUCAACAGGAAUCAAUAAUAAAGUGUCAAUGUACAGUAACACAUGAGGGGACAUGGAAUGUUGCACUAUUUCCUAUUCCAUAACCAUA
Long non-coding RNA from Lagopus leucura (white-tailed ptarmigan), 1065 nucleotides. RefSeq lists it as uncharacterized. NCBI's taxonomy places the organism in Eukaryota, Metazoa, Chordata, Aves, Galliformes, Phasianidae. The transcript is spliced from 6 exons. The record is from RefSeq and is a predicted model, not a curated record.